RNAcentral lists this ribosomal RNA (253 nucleotides) under uncultured bacterium. Its description in RNAcentral is "partial 16S ribosomal RNA". It matches the Rfam family "Bacterial small subunit ribosomal RNA", at positions 524 to 776 of the family's 1533-position model. The record is from RNAcentral.
AACGUAGGAGACAAACGUUAUCCGGAGUUACUGGGCGUAAAGGGCGUGUAGGUGGUUUCGUAAGUCUGGCGUGAAAUAUCUCGGCUUAACCGAGGCAGGUCGUCGGAUACUGCGGAACUGGAGGACGGUAGAGGCGUGUGGAAUUCCCGGUGUAGCGGUGAAAUGCGCAGAUAUCGGGAGGAACACCGGUGGCGAAGGCGGUUCUCUGGGCCUUACCUGACGCUGAGGAGCGAAAGCGUGGGGAGCGAACAGG